Molecule: ribosomal RNA, 245 nt
Filed under: uncultured bacterium
Lineage: Bacteria
Description: partial 16S ribosomal RNA
Rfam family: Bacterial small subunit ribosomal RNA
Source: RNAcentral
AACGUAGGAGACGAGCGUUAUCCGGAUUUACUGGGCGUAAAGCGCGUGCAGGCGGUUCGGCAAGUUGGAUGUGAAAGCUCCUGGCUCAACUGGGAGAGGUCGUUCAAUACUACCGAACUAGAGGAUGGUAGAGGGAGGUGGAAUUCCGGGUGUAGUGGUGAAAUGCGUAGAUAUCCGGAGGAACACCAGUGGCGAAAGCGGCCUCCUGGACCAUUUCUGACGCUCAGAUGCGAAAGCUAGGGUAG